UGCCCCGUCGUCUAAUGGUAGGACAGCGGAUUCUGAUUCCGUCAGUGGGGGUUCGAGUCCUCCCGGGGCAUCCA
RNAcentral lists this transfer RNA (74 nucleotides) under Iodidimonas muriae. RNAcentral describes it as "tRNA-Gln". It matches the Rfam family "tRNA". From Rfam's summary of the family: Transfer RNA (tRNA) molecules are approximately 80 nucleotides in length. Their secondary structure includes four short double-helical elements and three loops (D, anti-codon, and T loops). Lineage: Bacteria; Pseudomonadati; Pseudomonadota; Alphaproteobacteria; Iodidimonadales; Iodidimonadaceae. The record is from RNAcentral. RNAcentral also lists the same sequence under 2 other names.